This 429-nucleotide ribosomal RNA is filed under the name Gemmatimonadota bacterium. RNAcentral's name for it is "Gemmatimonadetes bacterium partial 16S ribosomal RNA". It matches the Rfam family "Bacterial small subunit ribosomal RNA", at positions 355 to 776 of the family's 1533-position model. The record is from RNAcentral. Lineage: Bacteria; Pseudomonadati; Gemmatimonadota.
UAGGGAAUCUUCGGCAAUGGACGAAAGUCUGACCGAGCAACGCCGCGUGAGUGAAGAAGGUUUUCGGAUCGUAAAACUCUGUUGUUAGAGAAGAACAAGGACGUUAGUAACUGAACGUCCCCUGACGGUAUCUAACCAGAAAGCCACGGCUAACUACGUGCCAGCAGCCGCGGUAAUACGUAGGUGGCAAGCGUUGUCCGGAUUUAUUGGGCGUAAAGCGAGCGCAGGCGGUUUCUUAAGUCUGAUGUGAAAGCCCCCGGCUCAACCGGGGAGGGUCAUUGGAAACUGGGAGACUUGAGUGCAGAAGAGGAGAGUGGAAUUCCAUGUGGAGCGGUGAAAUGCGUAGAUAUAUGGAGGAACGCCAGUGGCGAAGGCGGCUCUCUGGUCUGUAACUGACGCUGAGGCUCGAAAGCGUGGGGAGCAACCAGG